GAAUGAAAUCACCAAAACGCUUAGAAAAUAUGUCAAUUUUCUUUCUGUUUAAAGCUUUUAACUAACAUUGAUUAUCAGCUGUUUUGUACGGAAAACGUGGAAUCUAAAUAAUAUACCGUUUCCCUGCUCUGCUGCUAUUGGCAACACAUUUUUGUCAUGUCAUCUGCAACAGACGAUCAUACAUAUGUGGCGGAUUAUCGAUAUAGAUAAAACUAGGUAGCAAUAGCAGUGGAAGCCCGGAUUUGCAAGCCAAAUGAGGGAAAGACAGAAUUCUGAAAAGGAGCAUGUUUUUCAUUUCCACACAUGCAUGUGUAUCACUAUGGACAUCUAAUGUUUUUGUGGGAUUUUGUCCAGCAGUUUGCCUUAAAAGAAUUUUUUUAUAUUUUAGUUUCAUA
Long non-coding RNA from Magallana angulata, 395 nucleotides. RefSeq lists it as uncharacterized. The transcript is spliced from 3 exons. NCBI's taxonomy places the organism in Eukaryota, Metazoa, Mollusca, Bivalvia, Ostreida, Ostreidae. The record is from RefSeq and is a predicted model, not a curated record.